UACGUAGGGCGCAAGCGUUGUCCGGAAUUAUUGGGCGUAAAGAGCUCGUAGGCGGUCUGUUACGUCCGCUGUGAAAACCCAGGGCUUAACCCUGGGCUUGCAGUGGAUACGGGUAGACUAGAGGCAGGUAGGGGAGAAUGGAAUUCCCGGUGUAGCGGUGAAAUGCGCAGAUAUCGGGAGGAACACCGAUGGCGAAGGCGGUUCUCUGGGCCUGACCUGACGCUGAGGAGCGAAAGCGUGGGGAGCGAACAGG
Molecule: ribosomal RNA, 253 nt
Filed under: uncultured bacterium
Lineage: Bacteria
Description: partial 16S ribosomal RNA
Rfam family: Bacterial small subunit ribosomal RNA
Source: RNAcentral